AUGGCUAAGGAGAACGAAUCGGCUUCGCAGGCCACCGUCAAUGGAGACAAUACACUCACGAGAUCUACGAUGUCGUCCAUUGGGGUGAGCGUCGUUACCCUAUCUUUUUGUUCGCAUAUUUUUCCUGUAUUAAUUCUAGGGUUUUUUAUUUAGAUCGGAAGAGGAUGUGUUUUGCUUAGGGAAACAUAUCGAGAAUGUACGAGACAUUGAUGGUGCCGUCCGAGGGUUCCUCAUUCUUGGCGUGAUGAUAGACUUGUGUUAAUAAUGGUGAGCAUUUUUGCCCUAUUCUUCUGUUCACACCUUUUUCUUGUAUUAAUUCUAGGGUUCCUUUGCAUGAUAGAAGAACGCUUAGGGUUUCACCUCACGCGGUGAUACCUGAUUAGCUUUAAAUAUAAUAGUUGUAGAAAUAGUAGCAUUUAAACAAUAAAUGAAGUUUAUGGAGUGGAGUCGAAUUAGGGUACUUCAAUGUAGGUGUGCAGCAGAUGCAUUUUUCAAAGAUUUGGGAUCACAGAGAGCAGAGAGCGUUAUUCUGAUCACCAACUUCAUAUCCUCCCUUAUUUUGAGGACAAGAAAUUGGUGGUGAAAAGGGAGAGCACAAAUGAGUUUUCCUUUUCUAUUUUUCUGUUUAUAUUUCCAACUUCAUCUCGAUCGAGAGUUUAAAAAAUGGGAAAAAAGAGAAAAACCAUGUUUACAUUAUCUACAUCUCAAGUAUAGAUAAAUUUCUGCUGAGUCCAAAUUUAAGUUUCUUUGAGGUCAUUGUACAAACUAUGUAUUUUUUAAAGAGGUUUUGAUUUUGCAUUUUCUUUUGUAACUUGUGUUUGAAAAAACGUAUGAAUCUGGAAGUUUCAAGGAAAGUCACUUUCUAAAUCCUUUAUUGCAAAGGAUGCUCCAAGAAAUUUCUCAUACAGGCACGUUUAUUUUAUACUACCACCAUUUGUUCCUGUUUCUUUACAAUUUGUAGAAUGAUCUUAUGUCUGCUCUUUAAGUGAGCUGCCCGUUAAGCCUUAUGAUAGUUUCUUAUGUCUUAAACUUUAGAGCAUAACAAGAUGUGGUACUUCUCUAGAAUUUUGUGACAAGCCCGUGGGAAGGAAAAGAGAAGCCUUAGUAAAAGGACCUUCAUCCUUCCAUUCAUAUUUUUCUCUCUCACUCACACACGCACAUGCAGACAGUGACAUUUCAAUACAUAUAGGACUUUGUAAAAAUAUUCAAUUUAUCAUUUAAGAUUAAAUCAUACCAUUAUUUAUAUAGGAUAUUAACCCUGCUUCCCUUAAGCAUUUUAUUCAACUUCCUAGAGUUUGUUAGGGGCAACUGAAGAACCUUUGGGUUUGAGUUAUUCAAAUAGAUCCUAUCUUAUGUGGCGCCAAUGGGUAACCCAUUGCCCGUCCCUACCUGCUUUACAAGUGGCUCCACAACACAGGGACAAGUAUGAUUUGAUGGAAGUGUAA
RNAcentral lists this long non-coding RNA (1445 nucleotides) under Prunus dulcis (almond). Lineage: Eukaryota; Viridiplantae; Streptophyta; Magnoliopsida; Rosales; Rosaceae. The record is from RNAcentral.